CCAAAUUGUGCCCAGUGAACAUAAGUGACGACACAACCAAAACGAUUGUACCGCAGGUUGUGAAAUAAUAUGUCCAAAUUGCGCCCAGUGAACACAAGCGACAACACAACCAAAACAAUUGUGCCGCAGGUUGUGAAAUAAUCUGCCCAAAUUGCGCCCAGUGAACACAAGCGACAACACAACCAAAACAAUUGUGCCGCAG
Molecule: unclassified non-coding RNA, 202 nt
Filed under: Hevea brasiliensis (rubber tree)
Lineage: Eukaryota; Viridiplantae; Streptophyta; Magnoliopsida; Malpighiales; Euphorbiaceae
Source: RNAcentral